CGCACGGGUGAGUAACACGUAUGCAACCUGCCUGCCACAGCCGGAUAAUCGGGAGAAAUUCCGUCUAAUACGGCAUAAUGCAUCGACGGGACAUCCCGUUGGUGCCAAAGGUUGAUUCCGGUGGCGGAUGGGCAUGCGUCGCAUUAGUUAGUUGGCGGUGUAACGGACCACCAAGACGACGAUGCGUAGGGGUUCUGAGAGGAAGGUCCCCCACACUGGUACUGAGACACGGACCAGACUCCUACGGGAGGCAGCAG
Molecule: ribosomal RNA, 257 nt
Filed under: uncultured bacterium
Lineage: Bacteria
Description: partial 16S ribosomal RNA
Rfam family: Bacterial small subunit ribosomal RNA
Source: RNAcentral